This 495-nucleotide ribosomal RNA is filed under the name uncultured bacterium. RNAcentral describes it as "partial 16S ribosomal RNA". It matches the Rfam family "Bacterial small subunit ribosomal RNA", at positions 28 to 507 of the family's 1533-position model. The record is from RNAcentral.
GACGAACGCUGGCGGCGUGCCUAAUACAUGCAAGUAGAACGCUGAAGGAGGAGCUUGCUUCUCUGGAUGAGUUGCGAACGGGUGAGUAACGCGUAGGUAACCUGCCUGGUAGCGGGGGAUAACUAUUGGAAACGAUAGCUAAUACCGCAUAAGAGUAGAUGUUGCAUGACAUUUGCUUAAAAGGUGCAAUUGCAUCACUACCAGAUGGGCCUGCGUUGUAUUAGCUAGUUGGUGGGGUAACGGCUCACCAAGGCGACGAUACAUAGCCGACCUGAGAGGGGGAUCGGCCACACUGGGAAUGAGACACGGCCCAGACUCCUACGGGAGGCAGCAGUAGGGAAUCUUCGGCAAUGGACGGAAGUCUGACCGAGCAACGCCGCGUGAGUGAAGAAGGUUUUCGGAUCGUAAAGCUCUGUUGUAAGAGAAGAACGAGUGUGAGAGUGGAAAGUUCACACUGUGACGGUAUCUUACCAGAAAGGGACGGCUAACUACGUG